GUGCCGGUCUGGGGCUGACAGCAAUACAUAAAACUUGAAAUGCGCUUCAGCGAAGUCAUUUAUUUUUAAAUCGAUUUUGUUUUCGAAUAUACUAUCAAGAACUUCCGUAACCAUAAGGUUUAUUCCGGCUUAAAACAUGUUAUAAAAUAUAAAGUAGCAUACAUUUUAAAUAAAACGGUAUUAAGGGUGCUGUCGGUCAUUAUUAUAUGUCUAUGAUGUGCACUGAAUAGUUUUCUACAUUUUAUUAGCUAGGCGUUUCUCUUUUCUAAUUAACGAUUUGUAUUUGUCUCUAAUUUGUUGUUUUGUGAAUUCUUUUGCAGAAGGACACAACUUCCAAAAAUCGCCGUUGUCCAAUGCUCUGAUUAAUAGCUUUAUGGACAUUUUUCGCCUUGUUCGUCUUGUUGCAAACCUGGCUGAACGUGGCUGAUCUGAUGGUUGUUGAAGAGAACCAGAUUUAUUCGGGUCUUCGAUUGACCUCGCUGAUGAGCUGUGAUGGGCUUCCGCUGCUGCGAGAGAACUUUCAUGACCGAAAUUUUGAAUGAACUGGAAACUGUCGCUGGUGAUAUUAAAAAAGUGUUGUUCGCGUCUUGAACAAUCGUUUUGAUUAAUUAAUUAGUCACGAACCUAACUCUCUUUUAUUGACGUCAACGUCGACACGUGCAUGGAUAUAUUAUC
Long non-coding RNA from Dendronephthya gigantea, 675 nucleotides. RefSeq lists it as uncharacterized. NCBI's taxonomy places the organism in Eukaryota, Metazoa, Cnidaria, Anthozoa, Malacalcyonacea, Nephtheidae. The transcript is spliced from 3 exons. The record is from RefSeq and is a predicted model, not a curated record.